AACGAACGCUGGCGGCAUGCCUAACACAUGCAAGUCGAACGAGACCUUCGGGUCUAGUGGCGCACUGGUGCGUAACGCGUGGGAACCUGCCCUUAGGUUCGGAAUAACUCCCCGAAAGGGGUGCUAAUACCGGAUAAUGUCUUCGGACCAAAGAUUUAUCGCCUUUGGAUGGGCCCGCGUUGGAUUAGCUAGUUGGUAGUGUAAAAGACUACCAAGGCGACGAUCCAUAGCUGGUCUGAGAGGAUGAUCAGACACACUGGGACUGAGACACGGCCCAGACUCCUACGGGAGGCAGCAGUGGGGACUAUUGUACAAUGGGCGAAAGCCUGAUCCAGCAAUGCCGCGUGAGUGAUGAAGGCCUUAGGGUUGUAAAGCUCUUUUACCCGGGAUGAUAAUGACAGUAACGGGAGAAUGAGCUCGGGCUAACUCCGUG
RNAcentral lists this ribosomal RNA (433 nucleotides) under uncultured bacterium. RNAcentral's name for it is "partial 16S ribosomal RNA". It matches the Rfam family "Bacterial small subunit ribosomal RNA", at positions 29 to 507 of the family's 1533-position model. The record is from RNAcentral.